RNAcentral lists this transfer-messenger RNA (351 nucleotides) under Deltaproteobacteria bacterium HGW-Deltaproteobacteria-17. It matches the Rfam family "transfer-messenger RNA". Rfam says of the family: Bacterial tmRNA, also known as 10Sa RNA or SsrA, is named for its dual tRNA and mRNA-like properties. Its role is to liberate the mRNA from a stalled ribosome. To accomplish this part of the tmRNA is used as a reading frame that ends in a translation stop signal. Lineage: Bacteria; Deltaproteobacteria. The record is from RNAcentral. RNAcentral also lists the same sequence under 1 other name.
GGGGGCGAUUCGGUCUCGACGGGGGUAUGUGAAGCGCAGGUUGCGUCCGAGGUCUCCGCAUGGCCCUCGUUAAACAGGCGGAAAACUAGAACUGCGAACGAUAACUUCGCCCUCGCUGCGUAAGUAGUGAGCAUUCCACCAUGAGCUCAGCGGAUGGCGCAUGGCUGGGGUGUUGCAAAUGUCCGCUGGCCCGUCCAAUGCCGAAUGCGGUCGGGUGAGAACUUUUCGGCUGGUGUGAACGGAAGCCUGUCGGUGGGCGUCCGGGCAUGCGAGAUUCAAAUCACCGAAUACGACGUAGAUACCUUCGUGGACGACUUCCGGACCCGGGUUCGACUCCCGGCGCCUCCACCG